Long non-coding RNA from Solea senegalensis (Senegalese sole), 1483 nucleotides. RefSeq lists it as uncharacterized. The record is from RefSeq and is a predicted model, not a curated record. Lineage: Eukaryota; Metazoa; Chordata; Actinopteri; Pleuronectiformes; Soleidae. The transcript has 3 exons.
UGAGACAUGGAUGCUCGCCCUCAAUGAAAACAUGGCUGUCAGUAGCAACUUAACAGAAAUCUACACCUGCUCAAGUCUAUGAUAAGUAUACAGUAUGUUUGUCACAGUAUAUCUCUGUUAGGCAACUUUUUCCAGGUCUACUGCUGCUUUCUUUGGUGAGUUUAUAACCACUUAGGUAAAUCUGAAUGAAGGAUUUAAAUCACCCAAAUCAUAGAAUAAUACUUUUUUUUACUUACUAAGGGAGGUGGCGCUGGAUCAACAACCUCUGUGUGUCAUGACUUAAAAUUGCUGAUUUUCUCUAUGGACUUUGGUAAUGGAGACAACCACAUCAUUACCACACUCAUCAUAACUGUGACAUGGAUGGAACAUGAAGCGCAUGUGUUACGUCGUACAGCUCACAUAUGGCAACUCCCUGUUUGAUUCAGUGUCUCUGACACAAAGAAGAGACUUCAGCUCUUUGUAUUUUUCCACCUCUGCUCUGGGACAUCAGUGUUUCUGAGCGGUCUAACGUGCCAUCACAAGGUGCUGGCUACAGGCUGCGGGUGGAAAAUACAGCACUGCACUUUCAGACACUUCAUGAAACAGGAUACUCACUGGAGUCUAUUUUUGGAGGAAACCAGAGAGCCUGGACAUGGGGAGGAUAAGUAAACUCCACACAGAAAGGUCCCAGAAUGGGAAUCGAACCCAGCACCUUCUUACUGUGAGGCAACAGUGCCAAUCUACCAGUGUUAACUAAGGCACCAGAAGAAGGACUGGUGACGUAACCAGCGAGGUAGGGAAGGCUAUCGAAUCUGACAGCGCCUAACUUCCAGGACCCAGUUUAUGUGUUUAUGAUAUUGUUUUCCACUUUAUCUAACUACCCCACGGCAUUUUCCAUCGCUUCCUUGCAAGAAAAAAGUUUUGUUUGGACGACUUGCUUUUCCAGGGCAUGUGGAAGACUAGAUUAGACAAUGUCAAUAUGGACACACACAGAUCAGAUCGGAUCCCUUUACAUAUACUGUAUGUGAACAGCUGGUCAGAAGGUCAGAUUCUGAUCGGAUAUUCUUACAAAUCUGAUUUGGGCUGCAGUCUAAACAAGGCCUAAGAGUUGCUGAUAGUUGGACCUCAGUGACUUUGAAGGAACAUAGGGUUUUUAAAGAUCAGCUGUGUAUGCAAAUACUAAGAAUACUAAGUAUUAAUAAAACUUUAAAAUGGAUCCUAAAACAUACAAGGAGCCAGUGGGAGGAGGCUGGAACCAUUGAUGCAAAGAAAGCAGUUAAAAACUUUGGUGCAAACUUCAUAACAUAUUUAGACACAGGGUGUAGUGUUUCUGAUGGUCCAUCGCACAUCAUGUAUCCCAACUGUGUCACACGGCCUACAAAAUAUAUCCAGCCUACUGAGUUUUCACACUGGAAAAAUGGAAAAAGUGACAAUGAGAAAACUAUGAGAAAACAAGAAAAUAAGACAGUAAAUUAGGUCUUACAGACAGAAGUUUCUCUCCCCC